This 465-nucleotide ribosomal RNA is filed under the name uncultured bacterium. RNAcentral's name for it is "partial 16S ribosomal RNA". It matches the Rfam family "Bacterial small subunit ribosomal RNA", at positions 28 to 507 of the family's 1533-position model. The record is from RNAcentral.
GACGAACGCUGGCGGCGUGCUUAACACAUGCAAGUCGAACGGACAGGCCCUGCUUGCAGGGUACUCGAGUGGCGAACGGGUGGGUAACACGCGGGUGAUCUGCCCUGCUCUUCGGGUUAAGCCUGGGCAACUGGGUCUAAUACCGGCUAGGUGCCAUUUUUAGUGUGAUGGUUGGAAAGUUUUUUCGGUGUAGGCUGAGCUCGCGGGCUAUCUGCUUGUUGGUGGGGUAAUGGCCUACCAAGGCGGCGUCGGGUAGCAGGCCUGCGUGGGUGGACGGCGACAUUGGGACUUAGAGAAGGCCCAGACACCGACGGGAGGCAGCAGGGGGGAAUAUUGCACAAGGGGCGCAAGGCGGAUGCAGCGACGCCGCGUGGGGGAUGACGGCCUUCGGGGUGUAAACUCCUUUCGCUAGGGACUAAGCUUUUUGUGACGGUACCUAGAUAAGAAGCACCGGCUAACUACGUG